This 1218-nucleotide ribosomal RNA is filed under the name uncultured Rhizaria. RNAcentral's name for it is "SSU rRNA". It matches the Rfam family "Eukaryotic small subunit ribosomal RNA", at positions 577 to 1805 of the family's 1831-position model. The record is from RNAcentral.
CGGUAAUUCCAGCUCCAAUAGCGUAUACUAAAGUUGUUGCAGUUAAAAAGCUCGUAGUUGGAUUUCUGCGGGGACGGAGCGGCCGGUCGCAACUUGCGACUCGAGCUAGCGCUUUCCCCGCAUCCUGCCGCGAACCGUGCUACCAUUAGUUUGGUGGCGCUGGGGAUCGGCUCGAUUACUUUGAGAAAAAUAGAGUGUUCAAAGCAGGCCACACGCCUUGAAUAAGUUAGCAUGGAAUAAUGACUAAGGACUUCGGUUCUAUUUUGUUGGUGUUCGGGACUGAAGUAAUGAUUGAUAGGGACAGUUGGGGCGGUCUGUAUUCCAAAGCGAGAGGUGAAAUUCUUAGACCUUCGGAAGACAAACAGCUGCGAAAGCGUUCCGCAAGGAUGUUCCCUUUGAUCAAGAACGAAAGUUGGGGGAUCGAAGACGAUCAGAUACCGUCGUAGUCUCAACUAUAAACUAUACCAGCUAGGGAUCGGCCAACGUUUAAUUAAUCGACUUGGUCGGCACCUUAUGAGAAAUCAAAGCAUCUGGGUACCGGGGGGAGUAUGGUCGCAAGGCUGAAACUUAAAGGAAUUGACGGAAGGGCACCACCAGCCGUGGAGCCUGUGGCUUAAUUUGACUCAACACGGGAAAACUUACCAGGUCCAGACAUAGGAAGGAUUGACAGAUUGAUAGCUCUUUCUUGAUCCUGUGGGUGGUGGUGCAUGGCCGUUUUUAGUUGGUGGAGUGAUUUGUCUGCUUAAUUGCGUUAACGAACGAGACCCCAGCCUGCUAAAUAGCGCGGCCGAGCUUUGCUCGGUGCGAGCUUCUUAGAGGGACCAUGAUGCGCGAUAGCACAAGGAAGUUUGGGGCAACAACAGGUCUGUGAUGCCCUUAGGUGUUCUGGGCCGCACACGGGCUACACUGGCGCCUGCAACGAGCAUAUCAGCUGGCCCGAGAGGGUCUUGGCUAAUCUUUUGAACCGGCGCCGUGCUUGGGAUUGACCUUUGCAAUUGUUGGUCAUGCAACGAGGAAUGCCUUGUAAACGCGAGUCAUCAGCUCGCAUUGAAUACGUCCCUGCCCUUUGUACACACCGCCCGUCGCUCCUACCGAUGAAUGUUCCGAUGAAAUUUUCGGAGAGCGCCGGAGAACGGGGCUCUGCCUUGCAGAUCUGGAGGCUCAAAGUCACUUAAAUCUGAACAUUUCGAGGAAGGAGAAGUCGUAACAAGGUAGCCG